This 321-nucleotide small RNA is filed under the name Arabidopsis thaliana (thale cress). RNAcentral describes it as "ATSL104200". Lineage: Eukaryota; Viridiplantae; Streptophyta; Magnoliopsida; Brassicales; Brassicaceae. The record is from RNAcentral.
UUAAACAAUAUAGUCUAGCAGGUUAAAAUCUAGUAAAUAAUAUGUAAAAAGUGAUUUAAAAAGAGAAAUUGAGAAUUACUUGUUCAGGAGCGUUAUAACCGGCAGGAGGAGGAAAUGUUUCUAGUGACAUUUCUUCAGAAGGUUCUGAUACUCGGGCAUGAGUACUGGUGAUUCCAGCUUGACUAACGACAAAGAUGCUUGAGAAUGCAAUCGCAGCGCAAACAAGUGCUAAGUGACUCAACUCCAUUUCGUUUUUAAAAUUUUUUAAUAAAUUUUGCUUUGUAAAUGAUAAUUUUUAUGAUUGGAUCAAUGUGUUUUUAU